CAACCAUUCCCAUUCCAUUCAUUGAGUCUUGGACCUGCUCCUCAGGUUCUGUCAUUUUAGUUCUUUUCUCUGAAACUUGACUUUCUUGAAAACUUUUUCAGAUCUUUUUGGGUAUGGUUCAAAACCAGCUAAAAGAAUAUAUGAGUCCAAAAUCUCUUAUCUUGGCUUAGAGGAUAUCAGUAUCCCUUUGAAUGACAAAUCCCAGAAUGCCACCCAGUUCUCAAAAUACUAUGGGUACUAGUAGUGUAGGUGGACUGCCCAUUGGUUAUUUUGGUUUUCUGGUCAUGUGCUUUAUAAAAUUAUAGAUUGGAGGCUGGAAGGUCUCUUAGAGAUCAUCCAGCCUGACCUACUCAUUUUAUGGAUAAUGAAACUGAGGACCAGACAAAUUGUGACUUGUGCAAGGUCACAAAGGUAACAAGCAACAAAGUUAGGACUUUCUGAUGAUAUCCUUAAUGAAGCUUCUCCUACAUAAUUCCUUCUGUUGCAUCCUGCUCAUAUCCAUCAUGUGUCUCUCUAUUCCCCUUUAGGUGACCUGCAACUUCAUUCUUUGGCAAUUUUGGUAUCGCACAACUCAUGGUUAUAGAAUAUAACUAGAAGUACAUUGGUGUUAAAAAGGACUCAAUGUGCUAAAUGACCAACAUAUUGAGAUUAAUAGCUCCAGGGAAGACCACUUGGUGUAAAGAAUGACCCUUGAGAUUCCUACAAGUAAGAUUUCAGUCAAAACCUCAAAGACCAAGAAUUAUCAGCAUUAUUGGAGAAACUAUGAUCGUCUGUGUUGGUCAGAUCACUUUUGCACUCUUUAUGUUCAGUUCUUGGAGCCAUGGUUCAUGAGAACAUUAACAAAUGGGAAUACAUCCAGCGGAGACACAGUGAAAGCUGGUAAGGAAUUGGGGAUGAUUAGCCUGGAAAAGCGACAAUUUCAAGGCAUAAUAGCUAUCUGCAUGGUAUAAUGGAAAGAGAACUGUGAUUCAGACUUGGGUUCAAAUUCCAUUUAUGAUCCUAGCAAUUUGGCCCUGAGCAAGCACUCUAGGGCCCCAUUUCCUUAGCUUUAAAACAGG
Molecule: long non-coding RNA, 1058 nt
Filed under: Monodelphis domestica (gray short-tailed opossum)
Lineage: Eukaryota; Metazoa; Chordata; Mammalia; Didelphimorphia; Didelphidae
Description: lncRNA (ENSMODG00000036531.1)
Source: RNAcentral